RNAcentral lists this transfer RNA (65 nucleotides) under Perlodes sp. YZD-2018. RNAcentral's name for it is "tRNA-Arg". The record is from RNAcentral. Lineage: Eukaryota; Metazoa; Arthropoda; Insecta; Plecoptera; Perlodidae.
AAGUAAGAAGCGAAAAUUUGCAUUCAGUUUCGACCUGACUUUUGAUAACCUAUUAUCCUUACUUA